This 438-nucleotide ribosomal RNA is filed under the name uncultured bacterium. Its description in RNAcentral is "bacterial SSU rRNA". It matches the Rfam family "Bacterial small subunit ribosomal RNA", at positions 355 to 786 of the family's 1533-position model. The record is from RNAcentral.
UGGGAAGUAUUGCGCAAUGGGCGAAAGCCUGACGCAGCGACGCCGCGUGAGGGAUGAAGGUUUUCGGAUCGUAAACCUCUGUCAGCAGGGAAGAAAGUUAUAUGUGCUAAUCAGCGUGUAAUUGACGGUACCUGCAAAGGAAGCACCGGCUAACUCCGUGCCAGCAGCCGCGGUAAUACGGAGGGUGCGAGCGUUAAUCGGAAUUACUGGGCGUAAAGCGCUCGUAGGUAGUGUGACAAGUCAAGGGUGAAAUCCCCGUGCUCAACAUGGGAACUGCCUUUGAAACUGGUAGACUUGAGUGUGUGAGAGGAUAGUGGAAUUCCAGGUGUAGGAGUGAAAUCCGUAGAUAUCUGGAGGAACAUCAGUGGCGAAGGCGACUAUCUGGCACAUAACUGACACUGAGGAGCGAAGCGUGGGUAGCAAACAGGAUUAGAUACC